GGAAAUAGUCCUGAACAGGGUGUUUGUUUUUCUGAUGCCUGAUGAAACGGAGGCUAAGAGAAAUUAAGCAGCUUGCCUAAGUCAUACUACUAGGAAAGGACCAGCCUUUUCACAUGCUUUGAAGAGCAUCAAAAGGUCCCAGUGAGAAGGACAGAAGCCCCCAAUUUAGACUACUUUUGUAAACUACUCCUGGCGUUGGAGACUGUCAGACAGACACUUUGGUAUUGUCAGGGUUCCAUGCACUAAUUUGAAUUCAUCAAAGCCAGUUGUGGCUUCCCAGAUGGCGCUAGUGGUAAAGAACCCACCUGCCAAUGUGUGAAACGUAAGAGAUGCUGGUUCCUCCCUGGUUGAAAGGAUACCCUGGAGAAGGAAAUGGCAACCUAAUCCAGUAUUCGCGCUUGGAGAAUCCCAUGGACAGAGGAGCCUGGUGGGCUACCGCCCAUAGGGCUGCAAAGAGUCGGACACAACUGAAGCAGCUUAGCAUAGGAGCCAGUUGUGGACCUAACUCAUCAGGCUCGGGGGCAGUGGUUUCAUCAAUGUCUUGCCCUUGCUGACCCUCACCCCAGGCAGCUGAUAACAUUCCAGAUUGUGGCUGCUCAAUCCAUCUGGACAUUUUAGGGCAGAUCCCUGCUAUGGCACAGUCAUCUGCAGUGAACACAGUCAAGCUACAGCAUGCAGUGCCAGUUCAACAAAGAUAUAAAACUACAGCUGACCACGGAAAAUAUCAUUCACCCUUAGAUGGACACCGCUAUAAGGACUCUGAGGCUUGAGACUAGCAAGAGGGGGAGGCCCAAUACCCCUCGCUGUCCCAGUUCAGCAGGAAGUAGCCAGAAAGACCUUGACGCCCCU
This is a long non-coding RNA of Cervus elaphus (red deer), 849 nucleotides long. RefSeq lists it as uncharacterized. The record is from RefSeq and is a predicted model, not a curated record. The transcript is spliced from 4 exons. Lineage: Eukaryota; Metazoa; Chordata; Mammalia; Artiodactyla; Cervidae.